GCAUGAUCUUUUUAGUCUACCAAAUACAUAUUCUUACAAUAUCUGCUACUCUCAUGCAUGCAUGAUUGCAUGUUCAAUCACAACACUGUGGUUAAAAACACCUGAAUUGCAUUUUGAUCCUGCUAUUUUAAAAUAUUGAACAAGCUAUUUUUCCUGAGAUUAAAGUCAUAUAAUUCGAGAAUUACAUUAUGUCAAGUUCCACCAAUCAUAAUUCAAAUAAAAUAAGUGGGGUUAACAAAUACAUGUUGCAAAAUUGCUAUCGAACACAUUGACAUUAAAAAUAAAUAAAUCGUAAGGAAAAAAAAAAUGAUGGUGAGCUUUGUUUGUCGUGUUACCAACCCUCCAAUCAAGCACUUGUAAGAUAGAAGCUUUGUGGGGAAGCUGCUGGUUGUCUUGGCCCCAUCCAGGUUUCCUGUAAAGAUAUUGCAGGUUUUUCCUGGCCUCCCUGAUGUUCCAGCUGUAGUAUGAGUG
Molecule: non-coding RNA, 471 nt
Organism: Paramuricea clavata
Lineage: Eukaryota; Metazoa; Cnidaria; Anthozoa; Malacalcyonacea; Plexauridae
Source: the annotation of a GenBank genome assembly